AUUGAACGCUGGCGGCAUGCCUUACACAUGCAAGUCGAACGGUAACAGGUCUUCGGAUGCUGACGAGUGGCGAACGGGUGAGUAAUACAUCGGAACGUGCCCGAUCGUGGGGGAUAACGGAGCGAAAGCUUUGCUAAUACCGCAUACGACCUACGGAUGAAAGCAGGGGACCGCAAGGCCUUGCGCGGACGGAGCGGCCGAUGGCAGAUUAGGUAGUUGGUGGGAUAAAAGCUUACCAAGCCGACGAUCUGUAGCUGGUCUGAGAGGACGACCAGCCACACUGGGACUGAGACACGGCCCAGACUCCUACGGGAGGCAGCAGUGGGGAAUUUUGGACAAUGGGCGCAAGCCUGAUCCAGCCAUGCCGCGUGCAGGAUGAAGGCCUUCGGGUUGUAAACUGCUUUUGUACGGAACGAAAAGACUCUGGUUAAUACCUGGGGUCCAUGACGGUACCGUAAGAAUAAGCACCGGCUUAA
RNAcentral lists this ribosomal RNA (476 nucleotides) under uncultured organism. RNAcentral describes it as "bacterial SSU rRNA". It matches the Rfam family "Bacterial small subunit ribosomal RNA", at positions 30 to 501 of the family's 1533-position model. The record is from RNAcentral.